UGGAGUGGCGGCGGCCUAGGGCCUGUCAGC
RNAcentral lists this unclassified non-coding RNA (30 nucleotides) under Mus musculus (house mouse). Its description in RNAcentral is "oocyte_clustered_small_RNA2984". The record is from RNAcentral. Lineage: Eukaryota; Metazoa; Chordata; Mammalia; Rodentia; Muridae.